Long non-coding RNA from Phyllostomus discolor (pale spear-nosed bat), 4000 nucleotides. RefSeq lists it as uncharacterized. The record is from RefSeq and is a predicted model, not a curated record. The transcript is spliced from 2 exons. Lineage: Eukaryota; Metazoa; Chordata; Mammalia; Chiroptera; Phyllostomidae.
CCCUUGAGGGCAGCACCGAAGGAGUGGACUCAUCUGCAGGGGGCAGACAAGUAGGCACAAUGGUGGGACGUGUUAUUGCUCCCUUACCCUUGCAACAGGAUCUACUAAGAAGGCCCACCUAGAAGUCUAUGAUGACUUCAAAUCUUGAGGCAGUCAUGCCUGGAUCAAGAAUCAGCCCUGGAGUCUCAGCCCUAUCACAUACAAAUGAAUGGACUUUACCAGGCAGCAGCAUGGAAACAGGCACAGAUGUAAUGGUUAGAAUUGGACCUGAGACCCAGACCUUCUAGACGUAAGUACUGGCUCCACUCCUUACUAGCUUUGUGACCUUGGGCAAAGGUGCCUCUAUUUAGCACUUGCUUCAGAGGGUUGUUCCGAAGAUUAAAUUAGUUAAUGCAUAGAUAUCAAAUAUUUAGGACUGCUCUGGACACAAGGCAUGCACUACACUGUGUACAUAUUACUAUACUAAACUUUUCUUUACUCUAGCUUUCUGAUGCCUGUUUAAAGGGAGCAGCUAGCACCAACUUUCGCCGAAGCUGGAACACUGUCAUAUCUUCCAAUUUUUCAGUAAAAGUCAGAAAUUUGGACUUUCGUGUGAAAUGUCAAGGUUUUUAAAUGCUGGGAACUAAUUCAGGUUUGGUUUAUGUUUGAAUGGCUGGGAGGUCUAAAGGCAACUGUCUGCAGUCUGGGUGAAUCCUGAGGCUUGCCAGUCCAUCGUGGCGGCCACUCAACUCCUCAACCAAAGCUUCAGGGCCACUGGCCUGUCCCCCACUUCUUUCUUUUCCAUAGAACUUCUCAAAAUCUUACAUACGUUUUACUUGCUUACCUUUUGCCUUUGGUCCCUCAAACCAUCACACAAGAAUGGAAGCUCCUUGAAGGUGAGAAGUUUGUUUUGCUCGUUGUUAUGUCCCUAUACCCCAGAACAGAGCAUGGCAUGCCAUCCGUGCUCACCGGGAACUGAGUGAAUAACUGGUCAUCUCUCCAUCCUCGCCUUCUCCCUCUAGGGCUGGCCUAGUCUUCCUAUCUUACCUCCUUUUAGCAAACUAAUCACACGAGAAUGAGGAGAGUGAAGUCUAUAAGCACAAACUCCCGAGUGUAUUGUGGUUUUCUGGAGGAAGCCCAGUGGGCCUGGCUUUGAGGAUCUACAAGAAACUGGUUAAAAUAAUAAGAGAGGUCGUGGUGCUGAAGAAUCCAAGGACUUUUCAAAAUACUUAACAAAACCAUCACAAGUAUUAUCCAAUAAAACAUUUUGCAAUGGCAAAACAAUCUCUCUCUCUCAAGGCAUAUUUGACAAGGUGAAUUUCUGUAUAUUAAGAAGGCUUAACUUCCAUCUGGAAAUCCAUCCAGAAUUAUACCUUUGUGUAAUACCUGAACAAAGGCAAUUAGAGUCAAUUUCUAAUACUGGUCCUAAAGCAUCCCCAUGGCCUAGAAAUUGUUUUUAAAUACAAGGUGAGAGUGACACUGAAUUUCCCUAUAUGAACAGGAAAACAAAACAUGUGUGUGUGUCUGUGCUGUUACUUAAGGCAAAUUAAUUGGCUAUAUGGUAACUAAAUUGAUAGAAAUAAUAAAAUUGUAAAACUCACUUUCAAUAUAUUGGAAAAAUUUCUUGGAUAACUCUGUCCACCCACCCAUCCAUCCACCCUGCUCUCUAAAGAAUACAGCUGUUCUUCCUAUUUUAAGCCAAUGCUACCUGUUAUUCAUCAAAUAUAAGAGGCAAGGUGCCGAAGGUGAAUGAGACAUACACGAAAUACACAAUUCUUGCCUUUAUGGAGCUUCCAGUCUCCUGUGGGGACCAAACAUUAAACAAAUGCUUGAUGAUCCCAACUGUUUAUCUCCCACAUGGCCCAGUCGCAGGCCAAGAAGGGCAAUCUGACCUUCAACUUAACUUUGUGUGCCAGUGUUCCCUGCACCUACUUUCAAUUUGUUGAGAGUGAACUUCUAACCAGUAACAUCUCUAUGCUGAUUUUUAUGCUUUAAUAGCUGCAACAAAAUACUAAUACUUUUCCCAGAUUUCUCAAAUAAAUUCAGGAUCUGGUGUUUGGAAAAAUGUACAUUACCCAAGAAGUGCUGGGAAAAUGAUUCCCAUGUGGAAACACCUUCCAUGGACCAUGGUAUGAAUAGUGAGGAUCUAGUUUAAGAAGAUCCUUUCUAAUAUAAACAAAACAGAUUACUUAGUUCAGUGACACUGGCUAUCAAAAGUCAAUGAGAAGGCUAUACAAAAAGUUGAGGGAGAAAAAUUGGCAGAUAAAACAAGAACAGCAACAAAACUUUAGAAGGUGCUUCCCUUUUCCCAUUCUCUUUCCUGGGAGCUUCCUUUUCCAGUGUCCAGCCUUCCCUGGGACUUUGAUCUUGCACCUUGUUUCCCUUUCAUUCUAUUGUUUUGCCUGGAGUUUAAAACUCAAAUGUCAACAGGGGCUAAGCAGGUCACAGCAACAGGUGGAGUGAGUUGGUUGGGUAGUCAAGCAAAAAGAGAGCACCCUAAUAUCUAUUGGUAUAACCCUUCCUUCCACAACAAUAUUGCUUCCAUCUUAAAAUUCAGGCUCCAUAUCACUAGGUCUGGUUUAUCAUGUGAAAUACAUGGAGUUGUAAAUGUUGAUUCACAUUUUUUAAAAAAAGGUGCAAAUUAAAUAAAACAUAUUUUAGAGAUCUAUAUAGUCUAUAGAACACCAAUUUCCAACUAAUUUAUAUUUUGACAAGUUUUAAAAUCUCUGUCUUUCAUUCUAACACUCUCCAGAGAUCUAAUACAGGCAUUCAACUUCCAACUGGGUACACCCCAAAGUGCUCCUGUCUCCCUGUUCAAAAUUGUUAGUUCAAAACUGGCUCUAACAAUCCUGCUCAUUUCUCCUGAAUCCUGUUGAAUGACAACACCCUAGGUUCCACCUUGCCCUUCCCUCCCACUUAGCCAUCCCCAUUCAAAGAACCAACAAGCCUCAUGGUUUCCUCAACUCCUUGUUUUGGUCCCUUCAUCUCUUCCAAUCCAGACAAUUAGUGUCUAACUUCAACUACACAAUAACUUUCCAGUAAUUUUCUCAACAUCAUCAGCUCCACUGCACUCAAAUACCAUAUAUAACAAGGGAAGCCAAGAUUGUAUCCACCCUACUCAUUGAGUCUUGUCGGCUCUCUAUCCUACAGCAUAAAACCUAACUCCUUAUUACAGCAGAGACCUCAAAUCCUGGCCUCUGACUGCUCAGCCAGCUUCUCCUCCACUCACUCGAACCACGUAUCAUAACUGUGCAGAAUGAUCUGUCUGUCAGUGAACUAUGUUUAUGCCGUUGAUCUUUUGUGCCUCUGUUUUUAAUACUUCCUCUCUCCUUUGCCUGAAAUACCCUUCUCACUAGUCCACUUGUCUAUACUCAGUCAAGCUCUACUCAUUCUUUAAGCUUCAGCUUGAGCCAUCCCUGUCUUCCUCAGAAAGAUUUAGGUACUCUUUUGAUUCCAACUGUACUGAAAAGAACCAAGACUAUUAAAGACAGAAAAAGAAUAAUGCUUUUCAUCUUUAUAUCAGAGUCUCUAGUACACCAUCUGGUACACUGUGGUGGCUUCAUAAAUAAUUUGUUAAAUAAAGGAGGAGUGAGCUUUGGGUCUGGGGAAGAAAUAACGUAUAGUUAUAGAAGGGAAAAAAAGAAAUCAAGAAUUUGGAUUUGGAUAAUCUCUGGCCUGGACUACUGCCAAGGUCUUCUAUCUAGGCUACCAAUUAAUCCAAUCAUGUUUUGCCCCUAUUCAACUUUCCAAUGGCUCCCAGUAAACUUAGAAUGAAUGUAAACUCAUCAUUAUCAUGAGGCCCACCUCAUGAUAAUGCCCACCUCUCUACCUUGUUUCCUGACCCUUGCCCUUUUUAUCUGGGCCUAUUUCCAUUCUUAGAAUGUGUCCAUCUGUUAUUUCUUCUGCUGGAUAUGCUCUUCUUGUCAUUCAGACAUAGGGUGAAAUCUCAUCUUACCAAGCUUUUCCUAUUACCCUACUUUCUGUUCUUCACAGGUCUUAACAUUAUCUGAAAUUAUUUUUU